AGCCUUGGGGUGUCCAGCACGUAAGAUUGCAAAUCUUAAAGAGCGGACUAACGUCCGCCGGGGCUU
RNAcentral lists this transfer RNA (66 nucleotides) under Dysalotus oligoscolus. RNAcentral describes it as "tRNA-Cys". The record is from RNAcentral. Lineage: Eukaryota; Metazoa; Chordata; Actinopteri; Scombriformes; Chiasmodontidae.